UACGUAGGGUGCAAGCGUUAUCCGGAAUUAUUGGGCGUAAAGAGCUCGUAGGUGGUUUGUCACGUUGUUCGUGAAAACCCACAGCUCAACUGUGGGCGUGCGAGCGAUACGGGCAGACUAGAGUACUGCAGGGGAGACUGGAAUUCCUGGUGUAGCGGUGGAAUGCGCAGAUAUCAGGAGGAACACCGGUGGCGAAGGCGGGUCUCUGGGCAGUAACUGACGCUGAGGAGCGAAAGCGUGGGGAGCGAACAGG
RNAcentral lists this ribosomal RNA (253 nucleotides) under uncultured bacterium. Its description in RNAcentral is "partial 16S ribosomal RNA". It matches the Rfam family "Bacterial small subunit ribosomal RNA", at positions 524 to 776 of the family's 1533-position model. The record is from RNAcentral.